RNAcentral lists this ribosomal RNA (431 nucleotides) under uncultured bacterium. RNAcentral describes it as "partial 16S ribosomal RNA". It matches the Rfam family "Bacterial small subunit ribosomal RNA", at positions 29 to 505 of the family's 1533-position model. The record is from RNAcentral.
GCGAACGCUGGCGGCAGGCCUAACACAUGCAAGUCGAACGAACCUUUCGGGGUUAGUGGCGGACGGGUGAGUAACACGUGGGAACGUGCCUUUAGGUUCGGAAUAACUCAGGGAAACUUGUGCUAAUACCGAAUGUGCCCUUCGGGGGAAAGAUUUAUCGCCUUUAGAGCGGCCCGCGUCUGAUUAGCUAGUUGGUUGAGGUAAUGGCUCACCAAGGCGACGAUCAGUAGCUGGUCUGAGAGGAUGAUCAGCCACAUUGGGACUGAGACACGGCCCAAACUCCUACGGGAGGCAGCAGUGGGGAAUCUUGCGCAAUGGGCGAAAGCCUGACGCAGCCAUGCCGCGUGAAUGAUGAAGGUCUUAGGAUUGUAAAAUUCUUUCACCGGGGACGAUAAUGACGGUACCCGGAGAAGAAGCCCCGGCUAACUUCG